RNAcentral lists this long non-coding RNA (2190 nucleotides) under Sus scrofa (pig). Its description in RNAcentral is "lncRNA (ENSSSCG00005034780.1)". Lineage: Eukaryota; Metazoa; Chordata; Mammalia; Artiodactyla; Suidae. The record is from RNAcentral.
AGUCUUCAGGGUGAGAAACGGCUCAGGACUGUACUAUCCGCCCUUUCUUCUCUUCCACCAAAAAUACUUGCGUUGGCGCCCAGCUUCACUCUGUGUCUCCCUGGUUGCACAUAGCCACCUGACCAAGGCAGGAACUGCAACCACAACUCAGCAAAGAACUUUCUUGACAUUACCGUUACUAUCGCAUAGAAUGAGAAUGCUUUUGCCUCAAUUCUCCACUUUCGUUGCCUAGAUUUUGACAGCUGUGACCAGAAAGCCAACAUUAUACAGCUAACGUGAGCGUGUUAAGAAAAGUGAAGGCCAGCCCAGCAAAUCAACUUCUUGGAAGGCUAGUGUGGUGAAGUUUAUCAGUAUGAUGUCUGCGCACCUUGACAAGGUAGUCACCUGACCCCAAACCGCCCACGGGACAGCCCCCACCCCCUUCAUUUUUAGCCUUUCCUACAUCCCUACACCUGCACCCCUACAUCCCGCCCACCUGACCCAUAAAUUCAGUGCGUCUCAGAGUACAAGACCAACCUUUGGAACAGAAAGGUGUCAGGCAUCAUUCUUUCAUUCACUGAACAAGCAUUGAGCAUCUAUCAUGUGCACUUGGAAAACAGCAAUGAAUAGAACAGAGGAGGGGCUUACAUGGGGAUUAGGGGAGAGUCAGAAAAUAAUCACAAUAUGUACUAUUUAGGGUGAUGAUGAGCGUUAGAAAGAAAGAAGCGAUGUAACAGAGAUGAGAGAGAGGAGGCUAAUGCAAUUUGAAAUAAAGAGGUCAGAGAAGUCCUCACUGCCAUUUGUGAAAGACCUGAGGAAGUAGGGGGCAUGCCAUGUGGAACAUUCCAGGAAGAUGGAGUCUAGAUUGGGUUGGAAAAGUUUUCUGUAUUCUCUUGAUUAAAUUAGUUUAUUUAUUAUUAAAGUUAGUCCUCCUUGGUUAUAAGCUCAGUGUAAAUAUGUCAAAUUAAAUGAAUUACCUUUCAUAUUAUCUACAUGAUCUUCAAAUCAACUCAGAAUGAAAAUUAUAUUAGUUUAAUUUGCCCUUUAAGGAGGUGAUCUUCAGGAGUUCUCUGGUAGCCUAGAGCUGUGGCAUGGGUUCGAGUCCUGGUUCAGGGAAUUUCCUCAUGCCAUGGGCAUGGCCAAAAAAUAAAUAAAAAAGAGAGGUGAUCUUCAUAGAUAAUAUAUUCCUCUACCUAAAGCCUAAACCCAUUGCUUUUUUUUUCUUUUUAGGGCCACACCUGUGGCAUAUGGAAGUUCCCAGGCUAGGGGUUGAAUCAGAGCUGCAGCUGCUGGCCCAUGCCAUAGCCACAACAAUGCCAGAUCCAAGCUGCAUCUGUGACCUACACAGUAGUUUGUGGCAACGUAAUCCUUAACCCAUUGAGUGAGGCCAGGGAUCGAACCUGAACCCGCAACCUCAUGGGUACUAGUUGGAUUUUUACCCACUGAGCCACAAUGAGAACUCCUGAAACCCACUGCUUUUAAAUAAACUACACAAACAGACUCUACAUUUUGAAAUGUUCUGCUGGAAAAAGUGGACAAGGCAAGAGAACUAGAAAAGGCCAAGAGUUUGUAAUGGUUGAGCUAUGUGGGCUCUCCUCAGCUACCUCUGGGAGCCUCUGGAAAUGUUAUCUCUCCAUCCCAGGUGCUGUGCCCCUCCUGCUAAGUGGAGAUAACAGGAUUCUUCUGGCCCCUCCCAGAGAAAUGCUGAUGAUUAGUGACAAGGCAGAAAGGUGCAAAGCCCACAUAAUCAGCACUGAAACAGGUUAAAUUUGUAGCUGGCCAGAAAGAAAGAAGGGAACUAGCAAAACAUGCUUUAUUAAGUAUAUCAAUAUAAUAAAAUUAAAAAAUGAAUUAGCACCAUGCCAUACAUUUUCCUCACACCUGUAUUUUUAUUUUUACUGACUUUUUAAAAACUCAUUCAAAACUACACUCUUGAUGUACAUAUGAAGACUCAGGUUACAAAUGUAAACAGAACUUUAUGCUUUUUCCCCAAAGAGAGUUUCAUGACAUUUGUUAUUUCUAAUCUAAGACUUAUUUCUUACAAACAUCAUAUAUAACAGCUUUUCAAUGAGUACAUUUUAUGUUCUUUUGAAGUGGAAGCAGCUAUAAUGUGAUUUAUAGGAGCCCUUUUCAAAACCCUUUGGAGAUGCCUAGCCUGGAAACUUCCAUAUGUCACAUGUGUGUCCCUAAAAAGCAAAAAAAAAGAAAAAA